RNAcentral lists this signal recognition particle RNA (300 nucleotides) under Cebus imitator (Panamanian white-faced capuchin). RNAcentral describes it as "Metazoan signal recognition particle RNA (ENSCCAG00000006260.1)". It matches the Rfam family "Metazoan signal recognition particle RNA". From Rfam's summary of the family: The signal recognition particle (SRP) is a universally conserved ribonucleoprotein. Lineage: Eukaryota; Metazoa; Chordata; Mammalia; Primates; Cebidae. The record is from RNAcentral.
CCCUCAAAAGGUGUGUGUGGUAUCAGGUACUCAGGGGGCUGAGGUGGGAGGAUCUCAUAAGCCCAGGAGUUCUCACUACAGCCCAGGCUGUAGUGUGCUAUGCCUGUCGGGUGUCCGCACUAAAUUUAGCAUCAAUAGGGUGACCUCCUGGGAGCAGGGACCACCAGGUUGCCUAAGGAUGGUUGACAUGGCCUGGGACCAAAUGGAGCAGAUCAAAACUCUUGUGCUGAUCAGUAGUAGGAUAUGCCUGUGAAUAGCCAGUACACUGUGGCCUGGGCAACAUAGCAAGACCCCGUGUCU